Molecule: transfer RNA, 66 nt
Filed under: Sininocellia gigantos
Lineage: Eukaryota; Metazoa; Arthropoda; Insecta; Raphidioptera; Inocelliidae
Description: tRNA-Asp
Source: RNAcentral
AAAGAAUUAGUUAAAAAAUAACAUUAAUAUGUCAUAUUAAAAUCAUUUAUUAUUAAAUAUUCUUUU